This 717-nucleotide long non-coding RNA is filed under the name Fukomys damarensis (Damara mole-rat). RNAcentral describes it as "lncRNA (ENSFDAG00000024583.1)". Lineage: Eukaryota; Metazoa; Chordata; Mammalia; Rodentia; Bathyergidae. The record is from RNAcentral.
CAAAUAAAAAUCCCUUGACUGCUGGAUUUUUAAAAAAUGGAGGGAGAGGAGUUGGCUGACAGAAUCCUGAAAUUCACCUUGGCUCAGAGGACCCACAUAUUCAUCACUCUACAAAGUGGAAGGGAAAGCAAUAUCCUGCUGCAUCCAGGAGGAGGUACCGCCCUGGAGUGGAUGGACGUACUGCACCUCGCUGGUCUGAGGCCCACGAAGGAAGCACAGUGGAUCUCCACAGGGCCCUUCUGCUCUUGCACCUGCCCCCUCCCUCCCAGGGGACCUUCUUUUCCAGAGUGCAGAUCUGAGCCUGCCCCUCCCAUUUCUCCCCGUCUGUCUCACAAAAAGCUGGAAGAAUCCUCCUGGGGUAAGAAAGGGAAGAAUUCAGAAGGGGGAGUCGGCCUUCUGUCCAGCAGGUAAGAGAUGGGGGAGGACUGGCUGCAUCCUGCAGCCCAAACUCUGGUUGGUUGGUUUUAAGGGGUGGUAAUGGCCAGGUCCAGCUUGUGGUCUUUCAAUGGUUAUUCUCUCCAGAAGCUAUCUGUGUUACUCCUGUGUUAGUUAUUGAAUAGCUGUCUUUUACCUUCAAACAAUGCAAAGGGCUAAAUGUGAAUCCAAAUUUUUACGCCGUUUCAGAAUUAGGAGAUCCAGAAAUGGAACUUGGUGGUCAACUGUUUGUUUCCCAAGACCAUGGUCUUGCCACUCCUUUCUCCUUGUAAAACCCAGGGC